AUUGAACGCUGGCGGCAGGCCUAACACAUGCAAGUCGAGCGGAGCGGCGGACGGGUGAGUAAUGCCUAGGAAUCUGCCUGGUAGUGGGGGAUAACGUACGGAAACGGGCGCUAAUACCGCAUAAGAGCAGCUGAGCCUAGGUCGGAUUAGCUAGGUGGUGGGGUAAAGGCCUACAAAGGCGACGCUCCGUAACUGGUCUGAGAGGAUGAGCAGUCACACUGGAACUUAGACCCGGUCCAGACUCCUACGGGUGGCAGCAGUGGGUAAUAUUGGACAAUGGGCGAAAGCCUGUUCCAGCCAUGCCGCGUGUGUGAAGAAGGUCUUCGGAUUGUAAUGCACUUUAAGUUGGGAGGCGUUACCAACAGAAUAAGCACCGGCUAACUUCGUGCCAGCAGCCGCGGUAAUAC
This 407-nucleotide ribosomal RNA is filed under the name uncultured bacterium. Its description in RNAcentral is "partial 16S ribosomal RNA". It matches the Rfam family "Bacterial small subunit ribosomal RNA", at positions 30 to 526 of the family's 1533-position model. The record is from RNAcentral.